This 415-nucleotide ribosomal RNA is filed under the name uncultured bacterium. RNAcentral describes it as "bacterial SSU rRNA". It matches the Rfam family "Bacterial small subunit ribosomal RNA", at positions 28 to 438 of the family's 1533-position model. The record is from RNAcentral.
GACGAACGCUGGCGGCGCGCCUAACACAUGCAAGUCGAACGGAGCUUAGAGAGCUUGCUUUUUAAGCUUAGUGGCGAACGGGUGAGUAACGCGUGAGUAACCUGCCCUAGAGUGGGGGACAACAGUUGGAAACGACUGCUAAUACCGCAUAAGCCCACGGUNCCGCAUGGUACUGAGGGAAAAGGAUUUAUUCGCUUUAGGAUGGACUCGCGUCCAAUUAGCUAGUUGGUGAGGUAACGGCCCACCAAGGCGACGAUUGGUAGCCGGACUGAGAGGUUGAACGGCCACAUUGGGACUGAGACACGGCCCAGACUCCUACGGGAGGCAGCAGUGGGGGAUAUUGCACAAUGGGGGAAACCCUGAUGCAGCGACGCCGCGUGGAGGAAGAAGGUUUUCGGAUUGUAAACUCCUGUCG